This 436-nucleotide ribosomal RNA is filed under the name uncultured bacterium. RNAcentral's name for it is "partial 16S ribosomal RNA". It matches the Rfam family "Bacterial small subunit ribosomal RNA", at positions 355 to 782 of the family's 1533-position model. The record is from RNAcentral.
UAGGGAAUCUUCCACAAUGGACGCAAGUCUGAUGGAGCAACGCCGCGUGAGUGAAGAAGGCUUUCGGGUCGUAAAACUCUGUUAUUGAAGAAGAACGUGCGUGACAGUAACUGGUCAUGCAGUGACGGUAUUCAAUCAGAAAAGUCACGGCUAACUACGUGCCAGCAGCCGCGGUAAUACGUAGGUGGCAAGCGUUGUCCGGAUUUAUUGGGCGUAAAGCGAGUGCAGGCGGUCUUUUAAGUCUGAUGUGAAAGCCUUCGGCUUAACCGAAGAAGGGCAUCGGAAACUGGGAGACUUGAGUGCAGAAGAGGAGAGUGGAACUCCAUGUGUAGCGGUGAAAUGCGUAGAUAUAUGGAAGAACACCAGUGGCGAAGGCGGCUCUCUGGUCUGUAACUGACGCUGAGGCUCGAAAGCGUGGGUAGCAAACAGGAUUAGA